This is a long non-coding RNA of Suricata suricatta (meerkat), 1122 nucleotides long. RefSeq lists it as uncharacterized. The record is from RefSeq and is a predicted model, not a curated record. NCBI's taxonomy places the organism in Eukaryota, Metazoa, Chordata, Mammalia, Carnivora, Herpestidae. The transcript is spliced from 2 exons.
ACCUUCUAGCAGCACAGCCCGCCAGCCCUCAGUCCUGUUUCCCUGGUCGUGGGCUGAGCAGGCUCUUACUCAGGGGCCCCAGUGCCUGGAUUUUCACAUACGGGUCCAGCGCUGCUCUUGGGGUUCCUGCGGUGGGAGCAUCACAGAAGAGCCAGCGCAGGGUGGGAAGGGGCGGCAAGGAAGGAAGUGGAGGACACACACUGAGAUUUGCUAAUUUUUAGUUUUAAGUUACAUCCGAGCUCCCACCUGGGUGGGUGGGAAAGUAACUCUUGUACAAAUUCUCUGUGAAGGAGGAAGAAAGACCCGUUGAGGACUCAGCACCUAGCCAACUGAGCAUCAGCAUGUUCGACAGCCUCAAACCUGCCCUGCAGGACUUGGGCACGCGGGCGUUGUCUCUGCUGAAGACCUGAAGACACUGAGCCCACAGGAAGUCUUAAGUAUCUGGGAUCAUGAAUCAUCCUAUAUUCUGCGACAGCUAUCCCUACACAUGGCAAGAUUUCAACUUAAAGUUUAAUGCAAGAGUGCACAGGAUCUUUCUUGUUUAGUCUUGUAUAAUUUUGCUGUGAGCAAGAUAGCAGACAUUAGAGCCAUCCAAUUUAACUUUCAGUCCUGUGAUUUUGUGAUGCUCACACUUACGACUUACAGAUAGCAGAUUUAGCAAACAUGGAUUUUAUUCUUAGGUAAUGAAUUUGUAAAUGUUUCUCUAGUGAUGCCAAGCAGAUCACUGACCAACGUGUAGAGGAACUAGAUGAAUUCUGUUGCUCUGUGACCUGAUAGUUUCUGGCAUAGCUCUAGAAGGAUGUAGUGCUUCCUGCCAUGCUUCUUUGCAGGGAAUGGGUUUUGUCUGAAAUAUAAGAAGAUAAGUCAGGACUGAAUUCAUCUUGCCAAAAGUAAGGAUCUUUGCCCAUCCUUGAGUUUGGAUGCCAUGGCACUGGACAGAGAUUUGGGGACUUUGGAGACAGCUGAGAAAUUGCGGGACUUCCAUAUCCUACUCACAGGUCCCAUGAUGACAACCCAUGGGCUGAAUUCAUCCUUCAAACUCAUUUUGUUUGUUCCGAUAAUUUGAAGUCCUCACCAACUAAAAUUGGGAGAGUUUAUAUAAAGUUUUGAGCAAAGAGAAAA